UACGUAGGAUGCGAGCGUUAAUCGGAAUUACUGGGCGUAAAGCGUGCGCAGGCGGUUCGUUGUGUCGGCGGUGAAAGCCCCGGGCUCAACCUGGGAAUGGCCGUUGAAACUGGCGAACUGGAGUGUGGCAGAGGGGGGUGGAAUUCCGCGUGUAGCAGUGAAAUGCGUAGAGAUGCGGAGGAACACCGAUGGCGAAGGCAGCCCCCUGGGCUGACACUGACGCUCAGGCACGAAAGCGUGGGGAGCAAACAGG
Molecule: ribosomal RNA, 253 nt
Filed under: uncultured bacterium
Lineage: Bacteria
Description: partial 16S ribosomal RNA
Rfam family: Bacterial small subunit ribosomal RNA
Source: RNAcentral